RNAcentral lists this ribosomal RNA (911 nucleotides) under Escherichia coli. RNAcentral describes it as "partial 23S ribosomal RNA". It matches the Rfam family "Bacterial large subunit ribosomal RNA", at positions 296 to 1215 of the family's 2925-position model. Lineage: Bacteria; Pseudomonadati; Pseudomonadota; Gammaproteobacteria; Enterobacterales; Enterobacteriaceae. The record is from RNAcentral.
AGCCCAGAGCCUGAAUCAGUGUGUGUGUUAGUGGAAGCGUCUGGAAAGGCGCGCGAUACAGGGUGACAGCCCCGUACACAAAAAUGCACAUGCUGUGAGCUCGAUGAGUAGGGCGGGACACGUGGUAUCCUGUCUGAAUAUGGGGGGACCAUCCUCCAAGGCUAAAUACUCCUGACUGACCGAUAGUGAACCAGUACCGUGAGGGAAAGGCGAAAAGAACCCCGGCGAGGGGAGUGAAAAAGAACCUGAAACCGUGUACGUACAAGCAGUGGGAGCACAGAGCAAUCUGUGUGACUGCGUACCUUUUGUAUAAUGGGUCAGCGACUUAUAUUCUGUAGCAAGGUUAACCGAAUAGGGGAGCCGAAGGGAAACCGAGUCUUAACUGGGCGUUAAGUUGCAGGGUAUAGACCCGAAACCCGGUGAUCUAGCCAUGGGCAGGUUGAAGGUUGGGUAACACUAACUGGAGGACCGAACCGACUAAUGUUGAAAAAUUAGCGGAUGACUUGUGGCUGGGGGUGAAAGGCCAAUCAAACCGGGAGAUAGCUGGUUCUCCCCGAAAGCUAUUUAGGUAGCGCCUCGUGAAUUCAUCUCCGGGGGUAGAGCACUGUUUCGGCAAGGGGGUCAUCCCGACUUACCAACCCGAUGCAAACUGCGAAUACCGGAGAAUGUUAUCACGGGAGACACACGGCGGGUGCUAACGUCCGUCGUGAAGAGGGAAACAACCCAGACCGCCAGCUAAGGUCCCAAAGUCAUGGUUAAGUGGGAAACGAUGUGGGAAGGCCCAGACAGCCAGGAUGUUGGCUUAGAAGCAGCCAUCAUUUAAAGAAAGCGUAAUAGCUCACUGGUCGAGUCGGCCUGCGCGGAAGAUGUAACGGGGCUAAACCAUGCACCGAAGCUGCGGCAGCGACGCU